Long non-coding RNA from Coccinella septempunctata (seven-spotted ladybird), 627 nucleotides. RefSeq lists it as uncharacterized. The transcript has 4 exons. The record is from RefSeq and is a predicted model, not a curated record. NCBI's taxonomy places the organism in Eukaryota, Metazoa, Arthropoda, Insecta, Coleoptera, Coccinellidae.
ACAGCAUGACAGAAGUUGGUGGCAAAAGACUAAACAACAUACGUUAUAAAAAGUAGCAGUAGACUUGUAUUCCCGUAUUGAGUAGUAUCGAGACUCGAUUCUUGAUUAAAGUGUGGUGAGUGUAGUGCUUAACUUCCUGGGACUUCGCUGUCAGCAUUUAUGGAAUGACGGAAAGGUCUUAGAGCACAGUCUUGUCCUUUGUGGACAGGGCUGCUAAGGGAUCUCCUGGAAGUCAUUCCCAACUUUAGCCAUCGAUGGACCAAGAGCGUAAAAGCAAGAUGUAAACGUCAAUAUUUCGGCCCUGAAAAUCAAUCGAUGGGAGCCACCACCAUCUGGAAGAGUCGCUGUUGGAUAAACAGAUUCUAUCGAUCUUCAGUAGUUUUCGAAAAAAUCCUUUUAAACGCUGGACCGCCCCAGGUACGUUAUGAAUAAUAAAUUAAUAUCCAAGCCUCUCUCGAGCCGAAAUCGUUGUUUAUGGAGGUCGGCGAGAAAUAUUCGACGAAAGGGAUGCUUCUACAAGUGGUGCCUAAAUUGGUAAUAAAACUGCCAGGUCAACUGCAUAACACUUUAUGGUAUUUGGAGAAUAAAAUUCAAAUUUUUCACUGACAAGGCCAGUCCAACAAUCGA